GGACUACAAGGGUUUCUAAUCCUGUUUGCUCCCCACGCUUUCGCACCUCAGCGUCAGUUCCGGGCCAGUGAGCCGCCUUCGCCACUGGUGUUCUUGCGAAUAUCUACGAAUUUCACCUCUACACUCGCAGUUCCACUCACCUCUCCCGGACUCAAGAUCCCCAGUAUCAAAGGCAGUUCCGAGGUUGAGCCCCGGCAUUUCACCCCUGACUUAAGAAUCCGCCUACGUGCGCUUUACGCCCAGUGAUUCCGAACAACGCUAGCCCCCUUCGUAUUACCGCGGCUGCUGGCAC
RNAcentral lists this ribosomal RNA (292 nucleotides) under uncultured Alphaproteobacteria bacterium. RNAcentral's name for it is "partial 16S ribosomal RNA". Lineage: Bacteria; Pseudomonadati; Pseudomonadota; Alphaproteobacteria. The record is from RNAcentral.